AUAAGGGAAAUAAAAGAUAGUUAGAGAAAAUAAGUUUAAAGGUUCUUAGUUUCUGAUAGCAGUUGGACUUUGUUGAGUGUUCCUACUUCUUCAGUUUUGGGUCGGUAUGCCUUGCUUAUUGUUCAAGGUUGUUUUGAUUCGAAGUCUUAGACGCUCCACUAUUACUCUGUUUUAAUUAAGUUUGGAUUUUGACAAUGUAAUGAGUAUUAUGAAUUAUUAUUUUGUUUUAAUUACUGAUGAAGAGUUUUGACUAUCCUUUGAUUUCAUCAGCUUUGAGUAAUAUAAUAUUUCUGAAGAUUAUGAAA
This is a long non-coding RNA of Populus euphratica (Euphrates poplar), 305 nucleotides long. RefSeq lists it as uncharacterized. Lineage: Eukaryota; Viridiplantae; Streptophyta; Magnoliopsida; Malpighiales; Salicaceae. The record is from RefSeq and is a predicted model, not a curated record. The transcript has 2 exons.